Molecule: transfer RNA, 72 nt
Filed under: Bos taurus (domestic cattle)
Lineage: Eukaryota; Metazoa; Chordata; Mammalia; Artiodactyla; Bovidae
Also listed under: 3 other names
Rfam family: tRNA
About the family: Transfer RNA (tRNA) molecules are approximately 80 nucleotides in length. Their secondary structure includes four short double-helical elements and three loops (D, anti-codon, and T loops).
Source: Rfam by way of RNAcentral
UCCCUAGUAGCUCAGAUGGUAAAGCUUCUGACUGCAAUGCAGGAGACCCGGGUUUGAUCCCUGGGUCGGGAA